GCUCAGGAUGAACGCUGGCGGCGUGCUUAACACAUGCAAGUCGAGCGAAGCACUUAGGAAAGAUUCUUCGGAUGAUUUCCUAUUUGACUGAGCGGCGGACGGGUGAGUAACGCGUGGGUAACCUGCCUCAUACAGGGGGAUAACAGUUAGAAAUGACUGCUAAUACCGCAUAAGACCACAGCACCGCAUGGUGCAGGGGUAAAAACUCCGGUGGUAUGAGAUGGACCCGCGUCUGAUUAGUUAGUUGGUGGGGUAACGGCCUACCAAGGCGACGAUCAGUAGCCGACCUGAGAGGGUGACCGGCCACAUUGGGACUGAGACACGGCCCAAACUCCUACGGGAGGCAGCAGUA
RNAcentral lists this ribosomal RNA (352 nucleotides) under uncultured bacterium. Its description in RNAcentral is "bacterial SSU rRNA". It matches the Rfam family "Bacterial small subunit ribosomal RNA", at positions 22 to 356 of the family's 1533-position model. The record is from RNAcentral.